AAUCAACGCUGGCGGCGUGCCUCAGACAUGCAAGUCGAACGAUUAAACUUUCCUUCGGGGAAGAUAUAAAGUGGCGCACGGGUGAGUAACACGUAAGUAAUCUACCUUCGAGUGGGGAAUAACAUCGGGAAACCGAUGCUAAUACCGCAUAACGCAGCGGCAUCUUAUGGUGACAGUUGUUAAAGGAGCAAUUCGCUUGAAGAGGAGCUUGCGGCAGAUUAGCUAGUUGGUAAGGUAAUGGCUUACCAAGGCUUCGAUCUGUAUCCGGUCUAAGAGGACGGUCGGACACACUGACACUGAAUAACGGGUCAGACUCCUACGGGAGGCAGCAGUCGGGAAUUUUGGGCAAUGGGCGAAAGCCUGACCCAGCAACGCCGCGUGAAGGAUGAAGUAUUUCGGUAUGUAAACUUCGAAAGAAUGGGAAGAACUCAAUGACGGUACCAUUUAUAAGCUCCGGCUAACUACGUGCCAGCAGCCGCGGUAAUACGUAGGGAGCAAGCGUUGUUCGGU
RNAcentral lists this ribosomal RNA (510 nucleotides) under uncultured bacterium. RNAcentral's name for it is "bacterial SSU rRNA". It matches the Rfam family "Bacterial small subunit ribosomal RNA", at positions 28 to 549 of the family's 1533-position model. The record is from RNAcentral.